UUUUGGGGAAUUUACAAAAUGAUGCCCAAACCAUCCGGUAAUCUCAUUAAAUGUAGCACUAAUUUUAAACAGCAUGUAUGGCUUCAAUUAGGAGUAAAAUACUUUAUUAAAGUGACAGAAACGCACAUACUGAAUAUAUACAAUAAGAUUUUAGAUUCCAACCACUAUUUGUAAAAUGAAAAAACAUAUAUAUCCACCUCUGACACCUCCAUUGGUGGUUUAAAAAUAGUUCUCUAAACUAAACAACAUUGUCUUCAAAAACGUCUGAGCAUUUUGUGCUCUAACAUCGCUAUGAUAGUUAAACUUUGGUUAAAUUUAGGCAAUAAAAACCUUUUUGGUUAUGGAAAGAUCAUGGUCGUGGUUAAAAGAAAACAACAAUGACUGUCAAUAACAAACAAAUCCACUGAUUUCGGCAAUUUCAUUGAAAGGAAUUGAUUUUGCUGUGAAACGUUGUUUUAAAUGCUAUAAAAACUAGAGGUUUUACUGAAAUGUGGCUCACAUGCAGCUCUUUAUUCCUUCUUCAUUACAGCUUCUGUUUAAAGUUUUGCUGUUCUGUGCACAGAAUAUGUAUGAAUUGUAAAAUGAGUAGCUUUGAAAGUGACUCUCCCUGCCUAUAUCUGGUCCAUCAGCCCACCGACGGGCUCAAAGUGUCUCAAACAGAUGAUUGAUGUGAAACUUUCCCCCUAAACAUAAACACAGUCAGUGUUUUCAGCUGUGGAUGAUCCAUCUGGGAAGAGCUCAGACCACUGCAGAAGGAACUUUUUUCCUUUUCACUAUUUUUACUGCGUUCAUUUAAGUCCCACUUGGAUCAUUUCGGUUGAAAGUGAAGAAAGAUAGCGCUCAGCCCUCACAAGAUGUUUGCAAGCUUGUCCUGCAGGUGCUUUUGCAAAGAAACUUACAGUUAAAAUUGCAGUAGGUUAUGUGUCUAUGAGAGAAAUGGCCACGGUGAAGAAAGACAAAGUUGUCGACUAAAUGCUCCUGCUUUUUCAUUUAUAUAUAUAAAAAAUAUUUUGAAAGAAAACCCAUCAAUGCUUUAGAUUACAGCCUGAAGAUUACAGUGCAAUUAUUUAGUACAUAUGAGAUGAAUCAUGAACCAGGUACCUACACAAGGACAACAAUAUAAGCACAUGGUAAGAAGACUAGAAGUUAAGGAAGAAGGAAAGCCUGUAAGCCUGGAGCACAAACCUUUCCACAGUUAUUUGUCACUGCAUUUCCCUUUAAAAAAGUGUUAAAAAGAUCUAAAUUUGUUGCUCUACAAAGACAGAUCCCUCAUAUUUCUGUGUAAGUAUGUGUUUCAGCACUAGGUGGCAGCACUCUGCAGGCCAUUCCUGCACUGUGACUCUCCAGACACUGAACACUUUUCAUGUCUGACAGUAAAGAAAACCAUGCAGGUAUCUGUCAUGCUGUUUACACAAACUGUAGCCUCACAGUUUCACCCCUGCUGUGUGUUUAUACAGCCUUUAAUAGUUUUCACAACAGGGACUUUAAAAACGGUGUUUCUUUGUCCUCCCCCAGAAAUAAUUCUUAAUAAUCCUGUAAGAAACAAAAAAACAGCAAAAAAUAUUGCCAGUGAACAUAAUCCAGGGAGCAAUCAUAUUUCCUCUGAAGCAUAUUUGUCAAAAUAAAUCAGUAUAUAAACAUAAUUACAAUGACACCGAUUCGUCCCAGAGGAUCAACCAUUUUCCAUGAAAAUGAAUGACCCAAAUGUGGCGCACAUAUUGACAGUCAGAGAGUGAAGCCUAAUUUUUUCAUGAUGCCAUUGAUUUUGAAUUUUGUGCCACCAGCAGGCCAAAUUUUUAACUUUGUCCACAACAAAAGCUCUUAAUUUUAGGAGGGAAUAGUCAUGCUUCUCUGAAUGCUUUAAUUAAGUAAUUUUAAGUGUUUUAUUUAUUAUUCAGUUAUCAUUUAGCUGAUACUUUUAUCCAAAGUGACUUACAAUUGCUGCACAUGUCAGAGGUCGCACCCCCAUGGAGCAGUUAAGUGUCUUGCUAAGGGACACACUGGUGGAUGUCAACAGUGGGAAUCAAAACCCGGCCUCCCAUACCAGAGGUACAGUAUGUGUCUUGUCCACUGCAGCAUCACCACCUCUAUGUCUCUCUGAAUGCUGCAUGUCCAUAGGUGUCACUUACACUGGGGACGCUGGGUGCCCCACCACUUUUUGAGAUGGCUGAUUUUGUCCCCACCACUUUUUGAAAGUAAUGUUAAAAACAAAUGAAAUUAUUAGAUUUUUUGCACAAUAAGAAAACAUGCAAUGCGAUGUAAAUAUCUAAGAAACAAAUGUAGGCUACAUUGUCCAAGAAUUCUGUGUUUCCCUUUAUAAAUAAACCAUUCAACCAUAAAUUAGUGCGGAAAAUCUCUCUAGAAUGCUCAAAAUGUUCUUGGGGAGGAUCACCAGACCGCCUAAAUCAUAUAUCACAUCAGUGAAUACUGAUUUUAAUAUAUUCUUGUCUUGUUCUCGUGACCCCAUUAUUGUGCAUCAUCUUGUAUCGUAAGUUAAGUGUAUCACUGCACCCCUAAUCUGAGCCCUUAAAUGUCCCCACCCCUUUUCAGCACAGAGUGAAACCCUUGUGCAUGUCUCUCUGGAUGCUGCAGGUCCCGCUGGAGGCUGCAGGUCUCUCGGGAUGCUGCGUGUCUCUCUGGAGGCUGCAGGUCUCUCUGUCCCGCUGGACGCUGCAGGUCUCUCUGGACGGUGUAGGUCUCACUGGACGCUGCGUGUCUUAUACAUACACUGAGAAGAAAAAGAGACUGAUCCAAAUCUCCAUUAUUCCACCAUGAUGUCAUGAAGUCAGCUCCACCCAUGUGAGAUAUUACUUCUGCCUGUUGUGUGAAGAGAAGCAGCCCAGCCAGCGAUUGGUCAUCUUUGAUCUCAGCUUCACAACGUGCCGCUGGUCUCCGAGGCCUGACACUGCACCCUGUCCUCCGACGUCAAACUAAGAUCCGUCUGUCCGCUGUGACUGUACACAAAGAGAACUGCAGACAAAACACGGGGCUGAGAAAUCCCACUCCUUCAAAUCUUUCACUGUCUGUGACGCCCCCUCACCUCUGGAUAUGAACCCAGCACACCCGGAGGACCACAACCACUGAUGCAACAAGCUCAAGGCGAGUUUGGCAGCCAUCUUGUUUUUACAGCCUCUCCAUUUCUAUCUGGUCUAGCUGCUAGACAUGCAGUCACUGUCAAAUUCAGGCUGCAUGCACAUGACCAACGUUCUUCAGAACACAAUGCAGAAGCAGAAAGUAGAGCAGCUUUACAUCAAGACGUAAAGAGAGCAAACUGAAAAAUGUCAGGGUUUUAAACAAAGGAUCUUAUAUAGUUGAGGAUAUGGCAGCAAGGAAUGAUUAUUUUCAUAUCAGUUCAUAUUGUGCCAUGUAUUUUAUAUUAAUAAAUCACAAAAAUCUAAUUUUCAUUUAUUAAAUUCUCCAUUUUAUUCAUUUUUUUCACUCAUACUUCCUUUGCAAGCACAUUACAUGCUUAUGUUAGCUUAGGGUCUUCUGAAUCCAUAGAUACCAAUCACGUAUUUCAGGGAGAUCAGGUUGUAUCAAACCACAUCUCCAUUACAUAUGGUUUAUAAGCCCAAAUGUAUAAAUAGAGAAAACUGACCAAAAAAGGCUUAGGUCUUAGAGGGUUAAUUAAUUAAUUUGUUAAUCUUUAAAAAAUGACAGGAGAGUGAAAAAAACGACCAACAGUCCAAAACCCAAAUAUAUUUAAUUUAUAAUGAUAUAAAGCUGAGAACAAAUACUUAGAAGCUGCAUGGAGGGAAGGAUGUUUGACAUUUUUUGCAUGAGAAAUUGAUUAACUAAUUGUUAAAUUUGUUGAUUAUUUGACAACAGACGUAUCGAUUAGAACAAAAUGUUCUUCACUCAUCAUGUCUGCCUUGCUUAUAUCCAGGUGAGAUCAGGUACAGCGGUUAGCUCAUUGGUUGUGAAUUGGUCACCAAAGAAAGGGUUCAAGUUGAUGUAUCACACCAUCAGUAUGAGCAUUUGGAUGUGGCUACAUAUCCAAACAGAAAAUCUUUUUUGUAAUAUGAAGAUUUAUGAUAUUGAUGUUGAAUUAAAGAACAACUUUAGGCUACUAAAUAAGAUGCAUUUAAUGUCUAGUGGAACAACAUCACACCACCAAGCCCUCUUUCAUGCAACUUUAGUUUUUACUCUGUAACAGAUGCAAUAGCCUACUUGUGCUAGAAAGUUCUUAAAAGAAAAAUGACUGAUUUUGCACAUACACAAAAAGUAUACAAAAAAGCCAUAUGAGUAAUAUGAGUAAACGUAAUUUCUUACUCCUGUGUGCAGCCUGAGAUUGCAGGUUCCUACUCUGCACGUUGGUUUUGGGUGUAUAGAACAUUAAUCAUUUCAUCUGUUUUUAUUUACAGUUAAUAUUACCCCCCAAAAAACACAAGAACUGGACAUCACCCAAAUAUAAAAGUCAAUAAAGGACAGAUGUUGUUACAACAGAGCUAGUGAACCCAAGAGCCAGACACAGGGAGACAGGAGGCAUGAGUAGAACUUGCAAGAUGAUUUAUUUACAACCUUAAUAAAUGUGAGCAGGGAGUGAACUUGAUCCAAGGGGUGAACGAAUUUUGGGGGAAUCCGAGCUUGGGAGCGGUGUGUGUGUGCCAGAACAGCGUCCAGGGAUUAGCAAACCAAGCAGAGGCCAGAACUGAGACGCAAAACCAACAGGUUAACUGUUGAAAACAGCAAUUGGAGCAGACAGAAUGAGCACGAGCUACGACCUGGCAAGGUGCGUUCUUGUAGGAGACUUGACUGCAGAAUGGGAGACACCUGGUGAGGAUCAGCUCAGGACCGACACACCUGACUCUGCUUGAGUAAUCACACACACGCAUACACACACACACAAAAAGAGAGAGACUAUGUAGAGAUGGAAGCCAUGACAGUUGUCUUUAUUGUAAAGAUAUCUGUGAAGUGUUUUCACCACUUACGGUACACAGAGGAGUAAUUGCUUGAUUGCUUUAUGUGUAGGUAACAUAAUUUAUAUUUUUUUUGUUAUUGUUGUUAAAGAUACCAUACAUUUUAGGAAAUUUACUGAUUGUCAAGUCAACAAAGCCUCUUUUAAAAAUCAUGUUUGUCAUAUUUUGUGACUCAAGUCCUUGUUGUCCCAACAGAAACUGUAGAAAUGUGACUUUGUGCAGCUUCUUGAAAUUCACACUGAUUAGAAAACAUCAGCUGUGAAUCACUCAGAUGUAAAAUAAAUGUGAAUUUGGUUGCUGA
This is a long non-coding RNA of Micropterus salmoides (largemouth bass), 5220 nucleotides long. RefSeq lists it as uncharacterized. Lineage: Eukaryota; Metazoa; Chordata; Actinopteri; Centrarchiformes; Centrarchidae. The record is from RefSeq and is a predicted model, not a curated record. The transcript has 2 exons.